RNAcentral lists this ribosomal RNA (731 nucleotides) under uncultured bacterium. RNAcentral's name for it is "bacterial SSU rRNA". It matches the Rfam family "Bacterial small subunit ribosomal RNA", at positions 771 to 1501 of the family's 1533-position model. The record is from RNAcentral.
AACAGGAUUAGAUACCCUGGUAGUCCACGCUGUAAACGAUGUCGACUUGGAGGUUGUGCCCUUGAGGCGUGGCUUCCGGAGCUAACGCGUUAAGUCGACCGCCUGGGGAGUACGGCCGCAAGGUUAAAACUCAAAUGAAUUGACGGGGGCCCGCACAAGCGGUGGAGCAUGUGGUUUAAUUCGAUGCAACGCGAAGAACCUUACCUACUCUUGACAUCCAGAGAAUUUGCUAGAGAUAGCUUAGUGCCUUCGGGAACUCUGAGACAGGUGCUGCAUGGCUGUCGUCAGCUCGUGUUGUGAAGUGUUGGGUUAAGUCCCGCAACGAGCGCAACCCUUAUCCUUUGUUGCCAGCACGUAAUGGUGGGAACUCAAAGGAGACUGCCGGUGAUAAACCGGAGGAAGGUGGGGAUGACGUCAAGUCAUCAUGGCCCUUACGAGUAGGGCUACACACGUGCUACAAUGGCAUAUACAAAGAGAAGCGAACUCGCGAGAGCAAGCGGACCUCAUAAAGUAUGUCGUAGUCCGGAUUGGAGUCUGCAACUCGACUCCAUGAAGUCGGAAUCGCUAGUAAUCGUAGAUCAGAAUGCUACGGUGAAUACGUUCCCGGGCCUUGUACACACCGCCCGUCACACCAUGGGAGUGGGUUGCAAAAGAAGUAGGUAACUUAACCUUCGGGAGGGCGCUUACCACUUUGUGAUUCAUGACUGGGGUGAAGUCGUAACAAGGUAACC